This 458-nucleotide ribosomal RNA is filed under the name uncultured bacterium. Its description in RNAcentral is "bacterial SSU rRNA". It matches the Rfam family "Bacterial small subunit ribosomal RNA", at positions 29 to 507 of the family's 1533-position model. The record is from RNAcentral.
AUUGAACGCUGGCGGAAUGCUUUACACAGUGCAAGUCGAACGGUAGAGGGGCAACCCUUGAGAGUGGCGAACGGGUGAGUAAUGCAUCGGAACGUGCCGUGUAGUGGGGAUAACGUAGCGAAAGUUACGCUAAUACCGCAUACGAUCUACGGAUGAAAGCGGGGGACCGUAAGGCCUCGCGCGAUUGGAGCGGCCGAUGUCAGAUUAGGUAGUUGGUGGGGUAAAGGCUCACCAAGCCAACGAUCUGUAGCUGGUCUGAGAGGACGACCAGCCACACUGGGACUGAGACACGGCCCAGACUCCUACGGGAGGCAGCAGUGGGGAAUAUUGGGCAAUGGAGGAAACUCUGACCCAGCGACGCCGCGUGCGGGAUGAAGGCCUUCGGGUUGUAAACCGCUUUCAGCAGGGAAGAAGCGAAAGUGACGGUACCUGCAGAAGAAGCACCGGCUAACUAUGUG